AGUGAACGCUGGCGGUAGGCCUAACACAUGCAAGUCGAACGGCAGCACAGUAAGAGCUUGCUCUUACGGGUGGCGAGUGGCGGACGGGUGAGGAAUACAUCGGAAUCUACUUUUUCGUGGGGGAUAACGUAGGGAAACUUACGCUAAUACCGCAUACGACCUACGGGUGAAAGCAGGGGAUCUUCGGACCUUGCGCGAUUGAAUGAGCCGAUGUCGGAUUAGCUAGUUGGCGGGGUAAAGGCCCACCAAGGCGACGAUCCGUAGCUGGUCUGAGAGGAUGAUCAGCCACACUGGAACUGAGACACGGUCCAGACUCCUACGGGAGGCAGCAGUGGGGAAUAUUGGACAAUGGGCGCAAGCCUGAUCCAGCCAUACCGCGUGAGUGAAGAAGGCCUUCGGGCUGUAAAGCCCUUUUGUUGGGAAAGAAAAGCAGCAGGUUAAUACCCCGCUGUUCUGACGGUACCCAAAGAAUAAGCACUGGCUAACUUCGUG
This 492-nucleotide ribosomal RNA is filed under the name uncultured bacterium. RNAcentral's name for it is "partial 16S ribosomal RNA". It matches the Rfam family "Bacterial small subunit ribosomal RNA", at positions 29 to 507 of the family's 1533-position model. The record is from RNAcentral.